RNAcentral lists this ribosomal RNA (1096 nucleotides) under Kingella kingae. RNAcentral's name for it is "partial 23S ribosomal RNA". It matches the Rfam family "Bacterial large subunit ribosomal RNA", at positions 225 to 1363 of the family's 2925-position model. Lineage: Bacteria; Pseudomonadati; Pseudomonadota; Betaproteobacteria; Neisseriales; Neisseriaceae. The record is from RNAcentral.
UCAACCGAGAUUCCGCAAGUAGUGGCGAGCGAACGCGGAAAAGCCUGUAUAUGAUAAUGGUUAAGAUAGAAGAAGGGAUUGGAAACUUCCGCCAUAGUGGGUGAUAGCCCCGUAUUUGAAAUCUUAACCAUGGUACUAAGUAUACGAGAAGUAGGGCGGGACACGUGAAAUCCUGUCUGAAUAUGGGGGGACCAUCCUCUAAGGCUAAAUACUCAUCAUCGACCGAUAGUGAACCAGUACCGUGAGGGAAAGGCGAAAAGAACCCCGGAAGGGGAGUGAAAUAGAACCUGAAACCUGAUGCAUACAUACAGUGGGAGCAUCUUUGUGGUGUGACUGCGUACCUUUUGUAUAAUGGGUCAACGACUUACAUUCAGUAGCGAGCUUAACCGAGUAGGGGAGGCGUAGGGAAACCGAGUCUUAAUAGGGCGACUAGUUGCUGGGUGUAGACCCGAAACCGAGUGAUCUAUCCAUGGCCAGGAUGAAGGUGCGGUAAAACGCAUUGGAGGUCCGAACCCACGCAUGUUGCAAAAUGCGGGGAUGAGCUGUGGAUAGGGGUGAAAGGCUAAACAAACUCGGAGAUAGCUGGUUCUCCCCGAAAACUAUUUAGGUAGUGCCUCGAGUAUGAGACUGAUGGGGGUAAAGCACUGUUAUGGCUAGGGGGUUAUUGCAACUUACCAACCCAUGGCAAACUAAGAAUACCAUCAAGUUGCUCCUCGGGAGACAGACAUCGGGUGCUAACGUCCGGUGUCAAGAGGGAAACAACCCAGACCGCCAGCUAAGGUCCCAAAUGAUAGAUUAAGUGGUAAACGAAGUGGGAAGGCACAGACAGCCAGGAUGUUGGCUUAGAAGCAGCCAUCAUUUAAAGAAAGCGUAAUAGCUCACUGGUCGAGUCUUCCUGCGCGGAAGAUGUAACGGGGCUCAAAUCUAUAACCGAAGCUGCGGAUAUACUUUUGUAUAUGGUAGGGGAGCGUUCUGUAAGCCUGUGAAGGUGACUUGUAAAGGUUGCUGGAGGUAUCAGAAGUGCGAAUGUUGACAUGAGUAGCGAUAAAGUGGGUGAAAAGCCCGCUCGCCGAAAGCCCAAGGUUUCCUACGCAAC